This is a small nuclear RNA of Heteronotia binoei (common prickly gecko), 139 nucleotides long. NCBI's taxonomy places the organism in Eukaryota, Metazoa, Chordata, Lepidosauria, Squamata, Gekkonidae. The record is from RefSeq and is a predicted model, not a curated record.
UUGUGUGAGAAAAGGAGAGGAAGUCAGCAAGCCUCUUGAGAAGGACGGAAGAUGUCCUAGCAACCUGUACAACCUGCAUACACACAAGACAAUGCUGCUGUUUUGGUGAGAGCCAGUGUGGUGCAGUGGUCAGUAAUAU